UACGUAGGGUGCGAGCGUUAAUCGGAAUUACUGGGCGUAAAGCGUGCGCAGGCGGUUGUGCAAGACAGAUGUGAAAUCCCCCGGGCUCAACCUGGGAAUUGCAUUUGUGACUGCACGGCUAGAGUGUGUCAGAGGGGGGUAGAAUUCCACGUGUAGCAGUGAAAUGCGUAGAGAUGUGGAGGAAUACCGAUGGCGAAGGCAGCCCCCUGGGAUAACACUGACGCUCAUGCACGAAAGCGUGGGGAGCAAACAGG
RNAcentral lists this ribosomal RNA (254 nucleotides) under uncultured bacterium. RNAcentral describes it as "partial 16S ribosomal RNA". It matches the Rfam family "Bacterial small subunit ribosomal RNA", at positions 524 to 776 of the family's 1533-position model. The record is from RNAcentral.